AACGAACGCUGGCGGCAUGCCUAACACAUGCAAGUCGAACGAGACCUCCGGGUCUAGUGGCGCAUGGGUGCGUAACGCGUGGGAACCUGCCCUUAGGCUCGGAAUAACUCCUCGUAAGGGGUGCUAAUACCGGAUAAUGUCUUCGGACAAAAGAUUUAUCGCCUUUGGAUGGGCCGGCGUUGGUUUCGCUGGUUGGUAGUGUAAAAGCCUACCAAGGCGUCGAUACAUAGCUGGUAAGAGAGGAACGUCAGCCACACUGGGAGUAGGAAGCGGCGCAGAAUACUAGAGGAGGGAGGAAUGGGGAAUAUUGGAAAAUGGGGGGAGGCCUGAUCCAGCACUGCCGCGUGAGUGAUGAAGGCCUUAAAGAUGAAAAGCUGUUUUACCCGGGAUGAUAAUGACAGUACCGAAAGAAUAAGCACCGGCUAACUCCGUG
RNAcentral lists this ribosomal RNA (433 nucleotides) under uncultured bacterium. Its description in RNAcentral is "partial 16S ribosomal RNA". It matches the Rfam family "Bacterial small subunit ribosomal RNA", at positions 29 to 507 of the family's 1533-position model. The record is from RNAcentral.